CGCUGACUGACAGCCCAGUGCCCGGAGCAGGGAGCCCGAGUCGUGGCCGUGGCAGCCGCCACCGCCGCCGCCGCCGCCUGCUUUCCCUUCUCUCCCUCCAGCCCCCGGUCCCGGCCCCUUCCUCGGUCCCUUCCUGCCAGGGCCAUGGCUGCGAGGCCGCUUCGGCGGGGCUGGGUGCCGCGGGUGGGGCGGCGGCACUGAGUGGCGGCCGGGCGGAGGGGAGGGAAGCCGCCCCCGGGAGCCCCGCCGAGCCCCGCCGCCUCCCUCCGGGCCGGACCGGAGCAGGAGUGGCCUCCCCCGCCGUCCGACCCGGUCAUUUUGCUUGACCCCUCAAUUUGGAGGAUCUGAAGGAAGCUUUGGUGGAAACCAUGGAGGCAGCUUCCUAAUUGGCAUGAAUGGAAAGCAGAUCAUGCAGAAUCUGAAUGACCACUUCGCUUCUUACCUAGAGGAUAUACACUCUCUGGGCAUAUCUGAUAUAAAACUCAAAAGUUACAUCAUGGAAUGGCAUAAGAAGAGGGAGCCUGACAAUAAGUAAGAUUAUUCUCAAGAUGAGCAAAAUUUCAGUAACCUGCAGUUAUAGAUUUUGGGUGCCAACUUGCCAAUGUUAAGAUCCUACUACGUAUUGAUAAUAUGUAGAUAUAAUGAUAUAUACUUCACUCUCAAGUUUGAUGAGCUGUCCAUCAAGAAAGAGGUGAAUAUUGAAGUGGAGGUACUUUGGAAGAUCCUGGAUGGUGUUUGACAGUUGUCAUAUCUGACUUCGGAAGGGAGAUGAAAGGCAUGAGGAAGGAGCUUUUCCUUAUGAAGAAGCACCACAAAGAAGAAAUGGGCAAGCAACAUAUGACAGGUGAUAGUAAAGCUAAUAGGCAAAUUAAGUCAAUCUCAGGAGAUCUCAUUAAGGUCCUAGAGGGCAUGAGUUAGGAAUAUGAGUUUAUAAUUAAGAAGAACUAUCUAGACUUAGACACUUGGUACAAAGAACAAUCAGAAUCUAUGUCCCUCCCUAUCUUCUACCCAGUGAAUCAUCCCUUGUAACAAAGAAUAAAAAAAGAAAGGAGGAAAAGUUGAUCA
RNAcentral lists this long non-coding RNA (1065 nucleotides) under Vombatus ursinus (common wombat). RNAcentral describes it as "lncRNA (ENSVURG00010019937.1)". Lineage: Eukaryota; Metazoa; Chordata; Mammalia; Diprotodontia; Vombatidae. The record is from RNAcentral.